This 2902-nucleotide ribosomal RNA is filed under the name Klebsiella pneumoniae. RNAcentral's name for it is "23S ribosomal RNA". It matches the Rfam family "Bacterial large subunit ribosomal RNA". Lineage: Bacteria; Pseudomonadati; Pseudomonadota; Gammaproteobacteria; Enterobacterales; Enterobacteriaceae. The record is from RNAcentral. RNAcentral also lists the same sequence under 1 other name.
GGUUAAGCGACUAAGCGUACACGGUGGAUGCCCUGGCAGUCAGAGGCGAUGAAGGACGUGCUAAUCUGCGAAAAGCGUCGGUAAGGUGAUAUGAACCGUUAUAACCGGCGAUGUCCGAAUGGGGAAACCCAGUGCAAUUCGUUGCACUAUCGUUAACUGAAUACAUAGGUUAACGAGGCGAACCGGGGGAACUGAAACAUCUAAGUACCCCGAGGAAAAGAAAUCAACCGAGAUUCCCCCAGUAGCGGCGAGCGAACGGGGAGCAGCCCAGAGUCUGAAUCAGCUUGUGUGUUAGUGGAACGGUCUGGAAAGUCCGACGGUACAGGGUGAUAGUCCCGUACACCAAAAUGCACAGGUUGUGAACUCGAAGAGUAGGGCGGGACACGUGGUAUCCUGUCUGAAUAUGGGGGGACCAUCCUCCAAGGCUAAAUACUCCUGACUGACCGAUAGUGAACCAGUACCGUGAGGGAAAGGCGAAAAGAACCCCGGCGAGGGGAGUGAAAAAGAACCUGAAACCGUGUACGUACAAGCAGUGGGAGCACCUUCGGGUGUGACUGCGUACCUUUUGUAUAAUGGGUCAGCGACUUAUAUUCUGUAGCAAGGUUAACCGUAUAGGGGAGCCGCAGGGAAACCGAGUCUUAACUGGGCGUUAAGUUGCAGGGUAUAGACCCGAAACCCGGUGAUCUAGCCAUGGGCAGGUUGAAGGUUGGGUAACACUAACUGGAGGACCGAACCGACUAAUGUUGAAAAAUUAGCGGAUGACUUGUGGCUGGGGGUGAAAGGCCAAUCAAACCGGGAGAUAGCUGGUUCUCCCCGAAAGCUAUUUAGGUAGCGCCUCGUGAACUCAUCUUCGGGGGUAGAGCACUGUUUCGGCUAGGGGGUCAUCCCGACUUACCAACCCGAUGCAAACUACGAAUACCGAAGAAUGUUAUCACGGGAGACACACGGCGGGUGCUAACGUCCGUCGUGAAGAGGGAAACAACCCAGACCGCCAGCUAAGGUCCCAAAGUCAUGGUUAAGUGGGAAACGAUGUGGGAAGGCACAGACAGCCAGGAUGUUGGCUUAGAAGCAGCCAUCAUUUAAAGAAAGCGUAAUAGCUCACUGGUCGAGUCGGCCUGCGCGGAAGAUGUAACGGGGCUAAACCAUGCACCGAAGCUGCGGCAGCGACACUAUGUGUUGUUGGGUAGGGGAGCGUUCUGUAAGCCUGCGAAGGUGACCUGUGAGGGUUGCUGGAGGUAUCAGAAGUGCGAAUGCUGACAUAAGUAACGAUAAAGCGGGUGAAAAGCCCGCUCGCCGGAAGACCAAGGGUUCCUGUCCAACGUUAAUCGGGGCAGGGUGAGUCGACCCCUAAGGCGAGGCCGAAAGGCGUAGUCGAUGGGAAACAGGUUAAUAUUCCUGUACUUGGUGUUACUGCGAAGGGGGGACGGAGAAGGCUAUGUUAGCCGGGCGACGGUUGUCCCGGUUUAAGCAUGUAGGCUGAUUAUCCAGGCAAAUCCGGAUAAUCAAGGCUGAGGUGUGAUGACGAGGCACUACGGUGCUGAAGUAACAAAUGCCCUGCUUCCAGGAAAAGCCUCUAAGCAUCAGGUAACAUUAAAUCGUACCCCAAACCGACACAGGUGGUCAGGUAGAGAAUACCAAGGCGCUUGAGAGAACUCGGGUGAAGGAACUAGGCAAAAUGGUGCCGUAACUUCGGGAGAAGGCACGCUGGUGUGUAGGUGAAGUCCCUGCGGAUGGAGCUGAGACCAGUCGAAGAUACCAGCUGGCUGCAACUGUUUAUUAAAAACACAGCACUGUGCAAACACGAAAGUGGACGUAUACGGUGUGACGCCUGCCCGGUGCCGGAAGGUUAAUUGAUGGGGUUAUCCGUAAGGAGAAGCUCUUGAUCGAAGCCCCGGUAAACGGCGGCCGUAACUAUAACGGUCCUAAGGUAGCGAAAUUCCUUGUCGGGUAAGUUCCGACCUGCACGAAUGGCGUAAUGAUGGCCAGGCUGUCUCCACCCGAGACUCAGUGAAAUUGAACUCGCUGUGAAGAUGCAGUGUACCCGCGGCAAGACGGAAAGACCCCGUGAACCUUUACUAUAGCUUGACACUGAACAUUGAGCCUUGAUGUGUAGGAUAGGUGGGAGGCUUUGAAGCGUGGACGCCAGUCUGCGUGGAGCCAACCUUGAAAUACCACCCUUUAAUGUUUGAUGUUCUAACGUUGGCCCCUGACCGGGGUUGCGGACAGUGUCUGGUGGGUAGUUUGACUGGGGCGGUCUCCUCCCAAAGCGUAACGGAGGAGCACGAAGGUUAGCUAAUCCUGGUCGGACAUCAGGAGGUUAGUGCAAUGGCAUAAGCUAGCUUGACUGCGAGCGUGACGGCGCGAGCAGGUGCGAAAGCAGGUCAUAGUGAUCCGGUGGUUCUGAAUGGAAGGGCCAUCGCUCAACGGAUAAAAGGUACUCCGGGGAUAACAGGCUGAUACCGCCCAAGAGUUCAUAUCGACGGCGGUGUUUGGCACCUCGAUGUCGGCUCAUCACAUCCUGGGGCUGAAGUAGGUCCCAAGGGUAUGGCUGUUCGCCAUUUAAAGUGGUACGCGAGCUGGGUUUAGAACGUCGUGAGACAGUUCGGUCCCUAUCUGCCGUGGGCGCUGGAGAAUUGAGGGGGGCUGCUCCUAGUACGAGAGGACCGGAGUGGACGCAUCACUGGUGUUCGGGUUGUCAUGCCAAUGGCACUGCCCGGUAGCUAAAUGCGGAAGAGAUAAGUGCUGAAAGCAUCUAAGCACGAAACUUGCCCCGAGAUGAGUUCUCCCUGAGACUUUAAGUCUCCUGAAGGAACGUUAAAGACGAUGACGUUGAUAGGCCGGGUGUGUAAGCGCAGCGAUGCGUUGAGCUAACCGGUACUAAUGAACCGUGAGGCUUAACCUU